AGUGAACGCUGGCGGUAGGCCUAACACAUGCAAGUCGAACGGCAGCACAGUAAGAGCUUGCUCUUACGGGUGGCGAGUGGCGGACGGGUGAGGAAUACAUCGGAAUCUACUUUUUCGUGGGGGAUAACGUAGGGAAACUUACGCUAAUACCGCAUACGACCUACGGGUGAAAGCAGUGGAUCUUCGGACCUUGCGCGAUUGAAUGAGCCGAUGUCGGAUUAGCUAGUUGGCGGGGCAAAGGCCCACCAAGGCGACGAUCCGUAGCUGGUCUGCGAGGAUGAUCAGCCACACUAGAACUGAGACACGGUCCAGACUCCUACGGGAGGAAGCAGUGGGGAAUAUUGGACAAUGGGCGCAAGCCUGAUCCAGCCAUACCGCGUGGGUGAAGAAGGCCUUCGGGUUGUAAAGCCCUUUUGUUGGGAAAGAAAAGCAGCAGGUUAAUACCCCGCUGUUCUGACGGUACCCAAAGAAUAAGCACCGGCUAACUUCGUG
RNAcentral lists this ribosomal RNA (492 nucleotides) under uncultured bacterium. RNAcentral's name for it is "partial 16S ribosomal RNA". It matches the Rfam family "Bacterial small subunit ribosomal RNA", at positions 29 to 507 of the family's 1533-position model. The record is from RNAcentral.